UGUUUUGGUGACUAUGGCCUUAUAGCAUAGUUUGAAAUCAGGUAGUGUGAUGCCUGCAGAUUUGUUCUUUUUGCUUAGUCUUGCUUUGUCUAUAUGGGCUCUUUUUUGUUUCCAUAUGAAUUUUAGAAUUGUUUUUUCUAAUGCUGUGAAGAAUGAUGGUGGUAUUUUGAUGGAGAUUGCAUUGAAUUUGUAGAUUGCUUUUGGCAGUAUGGUCAUUUUUACAAUAUUGAUUCUACCCAUUUAUGAGCAUGGCAUGUGUUUCCAUUUGUUUGUGUCAUCUAUGAUUUCUUUCAGCAGUGUUUUAUAGUUUUCCUUGAUUUGAUUCUCCACUUGGUCACUGUUGGUGUACAGAAAAGCUACUGAUUUGUGUACAUUAAUCUUGUAUCCAGAAACUUUGCUGAAUUAUUUUAUCAGUUCUAGGAGCUUUCUGGAGGAGUCCUUAGGAUUUUCAAGGUAAAUGAUUAUAUCAUUAGUAAACAGGGACAGUUUGAGUUCCUCUUUACUGAUUUGGAUGCCUUUUAUUUAUUUCUCUUGUCUGAUUGCUCUGGCUAGAUCUUCCAAUACUAUGAUGAAGAGGAGUGGUGAUAUAGUGACAGUCCUUGUCUUGUUUCCAUUCUCAGAGGGAAUGCUUUCAACUUUUCCCCAUUCAGUAUUUUGUUGACUCUGGGUUUGUCAUAGAUGUCUUUUACUACAUUAAGGUAUGUCCCUUGUAUGCCAAUUUUGCUGGGGGUUUUAAUCUAAAGCGAUGCUGGAUUUUGUCAAAUGCUUUUUCUGCAUCUAUUGAGAUGAUCAUGUGAUUUUUGUUUUAAAUUCUGUUUAUAUGGUGUAUCACAUUUAUUGAGUUGCAUAUCUUUAACCACCCCUGCAUCCCUGGUAUGAAACCCACUUGAUUGUGGUGGAUUACCUUUUAGAUAUGUUGUUGGAUUCAGUUAGCUAGUAUUCUGUUAAGGACUUUAGCAUCUAUGUUCAUCAAGGAUAGUGGUCUGUAGUUUUCCUUUUUGGUUAUGUUCUCUCCUGGUUUUGGUAUUAGGGUGAUGCUGGCUUCAGAGAAUGAAUUAGGGAGGGUUCCUUCUCUAUAUAUCUUGUGGAAUAAUGUCCACAGGAUUGGUACCAGUUCUUCCUUGAAUGUAUGGUAGAAUUCUGCUGUGAAUCUGUUUGGUCCUGGACUUUUUUUAUGUUGGUAAUUUUUAAAUUAUCAUUUAAAUCUCGCUGCUUGUUAUUGGUCUCUUCAGGGUAUCUACUUCUUGCUGAUUAAGCUAGGUGUAAGAUUGUCCCCAUGGCCUGAAAGCUUAAGGAGAUAUAUAACUCCUCGCUUCUCAGGCCCAGUCCCAAGGCGCAAGGCCACUUGCGUCAGCAGUGUGUGCGGCAGCAUGCACCAGCAAGAUAGCAGAGGCAGAAAAAUAGCCAGUCAGAAGACACCUACCCCUGAAGAUUGAGAAAGAGGCCAUAUGGGUAAAACAUAGCAGUUACGUCAGACUAGGACACUUCCUGUUUACAGGAGACUGUAAAACAUUUGUCCCAUCCUCACUUGGUGCUAACGCCAUUUUAAGCCUCAGCCCGCCUGCACCCAGGCACUCAUUAAGACAGCAUGUUGCUCCACACUGCCUCGUGUUGUCUGUUGGUGCACUCUCGGGGUUCAAACUGUUACAAGAACCUUAUAUUUUGGUGCUGAAAUCUGGGAGGGGCUCAGGUCUGCAUCCCCCAUGGACCUAGCCCUCCACCCCAAAGAGCAGGCCACAGCAGCUGGACAAAGGAAGGUCCUCAGCCUCCAGUCGCCUCUCUGUGCAUGCAGUCGGUCACUGAUCUCGCCUACUGGCACAGACGUGUUUCCAGACAAUCCAGAUGAUGCUUCUGCUACAGCGACAUGACAGGAAUGUAAGAUUCUCCCGGGGCCUGAAAGCUUAAGGAGAUGAAUAACUCCUCCCUUCUCAGGCCCAGUCCCAAGGCGCAAGGGCCACUUGUGUCAGCAGUGUGCACCAGCAGCGUGCGCCGGCAAGAUAGCAGAAGCAUGAAAAGGGCCGGCCAGAAGACACCUACUCUGGCUGGAAGACACGUACCCCUGAAGAUCAAGAAAGAAGCUAUCUGGGAACAAUGUAGCAGUUACGUCAGACCAGGACACUUCCUGUUUACAGGAGACUAUAAAACCUUUGUCCUAUCAUCACUUGAUGUGGACGCCAUUUUAGGCCUCAGCCCGCCUGCACCCAGGCACUGAUUAAAACAGCAUGUUGCUCCAC
RNAcentral lists this long non-coding RNA (2234 nucleotides) under Homo sapiens (human). RNAcentral's name for it is "non-protein coding lnc-FAAH2-1:1". The record is from RNAcentral. Lineage: Eukaryota; Metazoa; Chordata; Mammalia; Primates; Hominidae.